CAGAGGAUAAACAGCUGAUGCAAGUUGGCUUUCUUUUCCUUUCAUUUCUUUAGUUUUCCUCUCUCAGUCAACAGACAGCAAAGAUAGUCCCAUUUGAAAAGAUAUUGGUCAAACAGUGAUGCAGGGCAGAAAUGUGAUAGCUUUGGUUUCAGUGAAGAUUAAAAUGCUUUUCUGUCUACAAACUUUUGUAACUCUUCACUUAUAAUGAAAGUUAUCAGCCUCACGUUGUUGCAGCGCUCUGAAAGUGUAAUGAGAAUUUUUUAUUUGUUCGUUUCAGCCAGUCUUCAAACUCUAAAUAAGUUUUACAGUCUUGCAGAUAACUUGCAUCUUGAAUUUUUUACUAUCUUUAACAACCUCCACUUGUCCAUACAGGACAUCUGAGAGCUUUGACAGCUGACAUAUAACUGCAACAUGAAACCUGCUUUUUUGGUAAAGUUGGAAUCUGCAGUCUCCUAAAUAAUAUUUGACUUGUUUUAAUCAACUUCUGUUCUUGGACCAUUGAUACUGCCACCAUCUGAUACAAAGCUAUUUUAGCAAGCAUCCACAAAAAAACAUGGUUAAUGUUUUUUAUUUUUUUUAUUUCAUGAAAUCAGACACGUUUUGCUUCAAAAUGUUUCAGCUUGGAAAACUUUAGUAACUUUGCAGACGGAUGACAUUUACAAAUGUUGUCCUGUAGAGGGCAGUAUAACUCUGAGUAUUGCAGAGUUGUGCUUGAGAAUGAAAGUGGAGGAGGUACUGGUUCAUUCUUUGUGAGAGUGUGUGUGUGUGUGUGUGCGUUUGUUGCAUGCAUACUGAACGUGUGUAUCUGUAUAUGUGUGUGCAUACAUGUGUGUUAGCCCACCUGUGUGGGACCCAGUGUGUGUUUGCCUGCAGGUUAUAGUGUUGCCCACUGGGAAUUCCUGGCUGUGCCUCUUUGAAGUGAGACUGCUCUUGUCUGAUAAACAGAGAGCGGAGCAGGUGUUGGAGCUGGCUGACUCAUCCGUUCAGCAUGUGAUCUUUGCAUUCAUCACUGUACUCACUGAUCUCACCGUAAGAGAAACAUGCUAUACCUAAUAAAGCAAACGUGAAACGCAGCGUGCGUCCAUAUGUGUCAUUGCAUACUUCAUUGUGAAACUGUUUGAUGUGUCAGACAGAUCAUAUUAUGUGUGUCAUUGUUAUCUUACACAGGAUCACAACACUUCUACUCAAAUCAUAAAUGACUCAAACAGAUAUUUGCCGUCUAACUGACAACUCUGCUGCUGAAUGAACAGCUUCUGACAGAAUUUUUAAAGACGUAUGAAAAGUAAAGUUAAUUAACAGCCUCAACUUAACUUUUUUCUCUCUUUCCAGAUGACACCUGCCCCUAACGACCAUGGCUGUAGACUGUUACCAUGGUGCCGUUGCUAGAGUAACAAUCUAAAGCCACGGUCGCCAUGGAGACAGCAGGGUGGAGGAGAAACUGGAGUUGGCAUGCACUGAGCCGUCUGGACAGCGACACAGCGACGCUCUGGAUCGGUGCUGUCCGCGGUGCUGAACGGGACGGAGACCCUGACAGCUGGGAGGCAACGCAGAGGCUUCACUUAAACACAGCAGACUGCGUAGUCACAGCUCCUAAAUCUGGCUUUAUGGUGACUUUUACAAGCAGAAUAAAAGGCUAUUAGUAGAA
Molecule: long non-coding RNA, 1645 nt
Organism: Stegastes partitus (bicolor damselfish)
Lineage: Eukaryota; Metazoa; Chordata; Actinopteri; Pomacentridae
Exons: 2
Source: RefSeq, a predicted model, not a curated record